GCCGAGCUAAGUAACAUGAGCUUGUGACCCAUGUGGGGGCAAUAAUGUGAUGGAACAUGAUCGUGGCCUUCUGGGUCGGGUCUGUGGUUGGCUGAAUGCUGGCUCGCCCUAUCCAAGUUGGGAGUUGGCUCAUGUGGCUUGGGCGAAGGUCCAAGUUUCAUGGGCCCUAAAGUGGAGGGUACUGCGUGAGGCUGGUUUCACAGAGCAACGAAUACCUCCCACUCUUGUCAGUGGAAGGAGAACGGGCUAGUGCCUCCUUGGCCCAUUAGUACCUAGUUGGCUGAUAUCUUAAAUGGACCAUCACUUUU
This is a non-coding RNA of Beta vulgaris subsp. vulgaris (sugar beet), 308 nucleotides long. It matches the Rfam family "Plant signal recognition particle RNA". NCBI's taxonomy places the organism in Eukaryota, Viridiplantae, Streptophyta, Magnoliopsida, Caryophyllales, Amaranthaceae. The record is from Rfam.